CACAUUUUCUCUCUCAAUUUUUGAAUAUAUGUGAGAUCUGAGUUCGUUUUUUUGCUCUUCAAGAUGGAUCUUAGCAUUAUCAAGAUAGAUUUUCAAGAAAAACACUAGAAGAGUGUAAACAAACCUCGAAAAUGUGGGUUAUCUCCAUUUUUUGCUCUUAUUUUUGCUUCGAGUUCUUAUGGUUUUGUUUGAUCUGAGUUUUUCUCUCUCGAUUUCUUUGAAUGGAUGAUCGAUUUAGGUUCGUUUUGACGGAUCUUUGCAUGAAGAAACACAAAUUUCGGAAAGGUAAGUGAGCUCUCUUUUAACCUCGUGUUCUUCGCGUUCUUGUGGAUUUCAUUGUUCUAGAUUUUUUUAUGUUUUUCAUUAUGUUCUUUGUUAAAUUUUUAUGGGUUUUUUGUGUCUGAUACAAGCGUUUUGUUCACGUCCCCGGGACGAACAUAAAUCGUGGUGGUACGUUUGUUUCACUGCCUCAUACGAAUGUUUUGUUCACAUCACCUAGAAGAAUGCAUGACGUGGUAAUUCAUUUGUUUUCACUUGCCGCUACGGACAUUGUGUUCACGACCCAUUGGGAUGAACGUAGGCGUUGGUGAUACGUUUUUUCACUGUCUCAUACGAACGUAUAGAUAUUUGUGAGUUUGUUUAUAUAUAUCUUAUGGUUCUUCGUGUUCUUCAUGUCUCUUGUGUUCUUGAUGAAUUCACAAGAAAUUAUUGAUAAAACACGAACAUAUAGAUUGUUCAUACUUUUAUAUGUGUUAUAUAUGUUUAUAGAUACGAAUGUAUGAUUAUAUUAAUAAGUUCGUAUGUUUCGCUCAUACGAACCUACGAACUCAUUAAAAUGUUCGUGUGUUUGAGUUCUUCAUCCCCUUUAUAUUCUUGAAGAACUCCUACAUUUGUACCGAUAAAACUUACAAACCUAAUGAGUUUAUAUCUAACAAGGUUUUAUGUUUCUUUCCAUGUUGCGUGAGUACCCAAUAAAGACGACGUGUUGCGUUUAGAGAAUUUUAAAUGGUUG
Molecule: long non-coding RNA, 1012 nt
Filed under: Linum usitatissimum (flax)
Lineage: Eukaryota; Viridiplantae; Streptophyta; Magnoliopsida; Malpighiales; Linaceae
Description: long non-coding RNA (LUSI_LNC005190)
Source: RNAcentral